RNAcentral lists this transfer RNA (72 nucleotides) under Medicago truncatula (barrel medic). RNAcentral's name for it is "tRNA gene30952". The record is from RNAcentral. Lineage: Eukaryota; Viridiplantae; Streptophyta; Magnoliopsida; Fabales; Fabaceae.
GUGAGUUUAACUCAGUUGGUAAGGACAAUGCAUAAUAUAUGCAAGGUCCGGGUUCAAACCCCGGAUAUCACA